AUAUACUGACACGUUGCUUGAUUUUAAUGGUAGCUGUAGUGGCUGUUCAGUCUCGGAUUCCAGGAAUAAUAAAUGGCUGUACAGGUUGCAGCGUAAAAGGGGUAUGUUAUUUUCCCAAUCAAGAGUGGAAACAAGGUUGUUGGACAAAGAAAUGUUCCGUUUAUUCCAAUGGUUACGUACAAGGAUGGAAAACACUAAUUGUAAAAACACAGUGUCCGGAUAAUUAUGGUAGAUGUAUAGAUCCCGGUCAAAAGAAUUCUGGAGGGUGUACCUGUACUGUUUCUGGAAUACUUUGGUCAUACAGAUGUAAAGGAAAAUAAAUGUC
Long non-coding RNA from Mytilus californianus (California mussel), 325 nucleotides. RefSeq lists it as uncharacterized. Lineage: Eukaryota; Metazoa; Mollusca; Bivalvia; Mytilida; Mytilidae. The transcript has 3 exons. The record is from RefSeq and is a predicted model, not a curated record.